This 243-nucleotide ribosomal RNA is filed under the name uncultured Delftia sp. RNAcentral describes it as "partial 16S ribosomal RNA". It matches the Rfam family "Bacterial small subunit ribosomal RNA", at positions 109 to 355 of the family's 1533-position model. The record is from RNAcentral. Lineage: Bacteria; Pseudomonadati; Pseudomonadota; Betaproteobacteria; Burkholderiales; Comamonadaceae.
AGUAAUACAUCGGAACGUGCCCAGUCGUGGGGGAUAACUACUGAAAGAGUAGCUAAUGCCGCAUACGAUCUGAGGAUGAAAGCGGGGGACCUUCGGGCCUCGCGCGAUUGGAGCGGCCGAUGGCAGAUUAGGUAGUUGGUGGGAUAAAAGCUUACCAAGCCGACGAUCUGUAGCUGGUCUGAGAGGACGACCAGCCACACUGAGACUGAGACACGGCCCAGACUCCUACGGGAGGCAGCAGUA